This 75-nucleotide transfer RNA is filed under the name Bacillus pseudomycoides. Its description in RNAcentral is "tRNA-Asn". It matches the Rfam family "tRNA". Rfam says of the family: Transfer RNA (tRNA) molecules are approximately 80 nucleotides in length. Their secondary structure includes four short double-helical elements and three loops (D, anti-codon, and T loops). Lineage: Bacteria; Bacillati; Bacillota; Bacilli; Caryophanales; Bacillaceae. The record is from RNAcentral.
GUGUUUGUAGCUCAAUGGUAGAGCAUCAGCCUGUUAAGCUGUUGGUUGGAGGUUCGAGUCCUCCCUAACACGCCA